This 261-nucleotide long non-coding RNA is filed under the name Elaeis guineensis (African oil palm). RNAcentral describes it as "long non-coding RNA (EGUI_LNC020019)". Lineage: Eukaryota; Viridiplantae; Streptophyta; Magnoliopsida; Arecales; Arecaceae. The record is from RNAcentral.
CCAAUCCAUGAUAAGCAUUACUGAUCUUUCCUUAUUUUCUUUAGGAAUAAGUUUUACUUAAUGAAUAAGAGUUCUCUCUAAGUCUUUCCUAUCACGCCGUAUGAGAUGUGGCAUGAUUAAAGAUGUCUGACCCAUAUCAAGUAUUGACAUAUGGAUCAAGAUAGAGGUUAGGUCUAUGAGACUCAUUUCUCUAGUAUUCUAAAGAGUUUUUAGAAUACUAUAUAUAUUUUUUUUAGAGAAUCACAAUGUGAUUGUGACCCG